AGAACGAACGCUGACGGCAGGCUUAACACAUGCAAGUCGAACGGUUGUAGCAAUACAGCAGUGGCAGACGGGUGAGUAACACGUGGGAACCUUCCUAGGGGUACGGAACAACUCAGGGAAACUUGAGCUAAUACCGUAUACGUCCGUGAGGAGAAGAUUUAUCGCCCCUAGACGGGCCCGCGUAGGAUUAGGUAGUUGGUGUAGGUAACGGCUCACCAACGCCUACGAUCCUUAGCCGUAUCUGAGAGGAUGAUCAGCCACACUGGGACUGAGACC
Molecule: ribosomal RNA, 276 nt
Filed under: uncultured soil bacterium
Lineage: Bacteria
Description: partial 16S ribosomal RNA
Rfam family: Bacterial small subunit ribosomal RNA
Source: RNAcentral